This 317-nucleotide ribosomal RNA is filed under the name uncultured Anaerolineaceae bacterium. RNAcentral describes it as "bacterial SSU rRNA". It matches the Rfam family "Bacterial small subunit ribosomal RNA", at positions 1051 to 1382 of the family's 1533-position model. The record is from RNAcentral. Lineage: Bacteria; Bacillati; Chloroflexota; Anaerolineae; Anaerolineales; Anaerolineaceae.
GUCGUCAGCUCGUGUCGUGAGAUGUUCGGUCUAAGUCCGCUAACGAGCGCAACCUCGUCGUAUGUUAUAUGUGUCAUACGAGACUGCCGGUAAAAAGCCGGAGGAAGGUGAGGAUGAUGUCAAGUCAGCAUGACCUUUAUAUCCAGGGCUACACACACGCUACAAUGGUCUGUACAAUGGGUAGCCAAGCCGCGAGGCGGAGCCAAUCCUGAAAGCAGGCCUCAGUUCAGAUUGCAGUCUGCAACUCGACUGCAUGAAGCCGGAGUUGCUAGUAACCGCAGGUCAGCAAUACUGCGGUGAAUACGUUCCCGGGUCUU